GAAAAACAUACGGAAGAUAGACAAACGGACCUAUAUUUGGGUGUCUUGAGCCAAGACCACGAGCAUCAUCAAGUCAAAUGAGAUGAGAUUAAUGUGAUAUAUCAACCUUCAGUGCAAUCAAUGCCAAACGCACAGUAGAUAAAUAUCUCAUUUUAAGCGUAUGAAAGUUAACUGACAGAUUGCAAUGAUGGUCGGUGUCUGUUCUCGGUAUUAUUGAAACACCCACACUUUUGGUCUUUUAAGCCGCAAAAAGUAUGAUGACAUCGUUUCUACGGAAAUGCCUCCGAGUCGUCCAUGUCACGGAGCCUCGCCACUCAACGUACUGCGCAUGCUCUCAUCUCGGCCAAUCACCUUCCAACAACCGUUUCAACCCGUGACUGUAUGAAAACCUAAAGAAUGACCAAAGUCGAACUGUAUAAGGAGUACACCAUUCAGCAACUUGAUGCGAGAGCUUUUACACCGACUUGCUAUCAACUGGUAAUUACAUGACAAUUUGAGAGUUGUUUUGGGGGCAAAAAGGUGCGCUUCUUGACUCGGGAUGAAGUUCUUCAUAGUGUCCCUGUUGUUGGUGCUAUGCGCUGAUGUUCUGGUAGUUUCAGCAGCCUUGCCUUACGUCCAGUACUGCCACACCGACAUGGACUGUAGGUGGAACAUGUUUGGUCGUCGUUACUGCCUGGGCUGGGAGUGUGAGCGGUACUACCAGAUGACUCCUUGUACUAAGGACUCGGAUUGUAAAGGCCGACGAGGCGGGAACAAGGUCUGCAGGAAUAUGUACUGCAGGAGCACUCGGUCAAGACGGUGAAAACUGGAAAUGGUGGAACUUGGAACGUUCGUCAAACAUUAACAAUGAUUGGCGCCCGUACGACAACAGCUCUAUACGGUAACACGACAUCCAGCCAACCACACCACGCCCUUUCAUUGACCUCUAUUCCUACGCCCGAUCUAUAUUUAGCAACUAUGGUUGGUGAUUUUUUUUUUUUUGUCUCCAAAACAUAUUAUGCCUCUGAGUUUAAAAAAACAACAACAUAAGAUUACCUUUAAUAUUCAACUCCAUGCCUUGGGAAUAAUAGACGAGUACUCAAGCGAAUGAUUGGAGGGGGGAGACAUAAUUGCAAUUUAUCGAGUGAUCUUUGGCAGAUGUGUGCAUAUAUUCUUGCGAGGAUCUUAUUUCGCGAAUGUAAGUUAUUGAGUAUUUUGAUCUGGGUCUGUAGUAGAUUUUCUUUUUAAUGUCUUUUUUGUUGAUAUAGGCUUGGAUUGUUCGGACCACGCUAUGAGUCCAUGAUGCACGAUGUAUUGAUAUAAUAAUGUAAAUAAUAGUCACAUCUCUUGGUGUUCGUUUCAUGUUUUUUAAACACUAAAAAAAACCUAUUAGGACUGUUUUGUCACUGGAAUCCGAUCUAUUAAUUAUUCAAUUAUACAAAAAACUGUAUGGAAGUAGCAUUCAUGGUAAAUACGACGCCGGUUAUUCUUCAGCACGAACUCGAAUGUUAGUGAAAAUGCCACGAAAUACUUAACACAAUCUAUAUGCAUACCUGAGGCUAAAACACAUCCGUCCACUUACGAGCGGUUAGUGUGUGUUUUAGUCUUUAAGCUAUCUGGAGGGGUAUCUUUUCAGUUUCACCGCACAAAAGAAAACGCCUUUGGACGUUAAAGUGAUAAAGAUGAUGUUGCUGGAUUUGAGGUCAUAAUUAGUAAGCAAUCGAUAUUGUGGAAACUUGCUAUAUUUUCUGCUUUGUAAUGAGUUAUAUGAGUUAGCUGUUGUACGAAAUAAGAAUAUCCUUGUCUAUUGUUAAUAAACAGGUUUAUUUUCGAAUUAAUGCAUCUAUAAAUAAUUGAUAUAAAACAAAACAAUUAAAAAUUCCGGUGAAAUUCA
Molecule: long non-coding RNA, 1873 nt
Organism: Patiria miniata (bat star)
Lineage: Eukaryota; Metazoa; Echinodermata; Asteroidea; Valvatida; Asterinidae
Exons: 4
Source: RefSeq, a predicted model, not a curated record